Molecule: ribosomal RNA, 622 nt
Filed under: Globigerinoides elongatus
Lineage: Eukaryota; Foraminifera; Rotaliida; Globigerinidae
Description: partial small subunit ribosomal RNA
Rfam family: Eukaryotic small subunit ribosomal RNA (bases 1-364)
Source: RNAcentral
AGUUCGUGGAGUGAUCUGUCUGCUUAAUUGCGUUUCAAAAUCUAAACCUGAGCGACAAGGUGCUGCUAUCGAAACUGUCUUUGAGUGUGAACUAUAAGUCUUUUGACUUAUGACCAUCACUCUAGACGUUUAUGUUUUGGUGUUGGCCCUUGAUGCUCAUUUGAACGCAACGGACGUGAUUGCAACCCCUUGUUGAGAUUUAUCCGAUCUCUACGUUCACUGAACCACACUCUUUAGCGAGAGCAGUGGGGAUGUGGAUAAACUCGGGGGACUGCUGACUAUAAACUUUUCUCAAACCAGAGGAAGGUUGCGGCAAUAACAGGUCUGUGAUGCCCUCAGAUGUUCCGGGCUGCACACGUGCUACAUUUAGUAGCGCAGUGUGCACAUUAAUAGAGUGAUAGGUUCCGUGGUUUGUACAUUUUAAGGGCUCGUCCUAGUAACCAAAGCUCCACGGGACAUAUCAACCUUCCCCUUACAGGGCGGGUAACCUCUUCGAAGUGCUGGCAUGAUUUCCCUAGUUUUGGCAUUUGAAUCCUUGUCGCAGCAGCCCUGAGACGUAGUGAACGCUGCAAAGUGAUUCCAGUCUUAGGUUUGCGACACAUGCAAUUCCUGGUUGACUCAU